AUUGAACGCUGGCGGCAGGCCUAACACAUGCCAGUCGAGCGGAUGAAGGGAGCUUGCUCCUGGAUUCAGCUGCGGACGGGUGAGUAAUGCCUAGGAAUCUGCCUGGUAGUGGGGGAUAACGUCCGGAAACGGGCGCUAAUACCGCAUACGUCCUGAGGGAGAAAGUGGGAGAUCUUCGGACCUCACGCUAUCAGAUGAGCCUAGGUCGGAUUAGCUAGUUGGUGGGGUAAAGGCCUACCAAGGCGACGAUCCGUAACUGGUCUGAGAGGAUGAUCAGUCACACUGGAACUGAGACACGGUCCAGACUCCUACGGGAGGCAGCAGUGGGGAAUAUUGGACAAUGGGCGAAAGCCUGAUCCAGCAAUGCCGCGUGUGUGAAGAAGGUCUUCGGAUUGUAAAGCACUUUAAGUUGGGAGGAAGGGAAGUAAGUUAAUACCUUGCUGUUUUGACGUUACCAACAGAAUAAGCACCGGCUAACUUCGUG
This 484-nucleotide ribosomal RNA is filed under the name uncultured bacterium. RNAcentral's name for it is "partial 16S ribosomal RNA". It matches the Rfam family "Bacterial small subunit ribosomal RNA", at positions 30 to 507 of the family's 1533-position model. The record is from RNAcentral.